This 504-nucleotide ribosomal RNA is filed under the name uncultured bacterium. Its description in RNAcentral is "partial 16S ribosomal RNA". It matches the Rfam family "Bacterial small subunit ribosomal RNA", at positions 30 to 523 of the family's 1533-position model. The record is from RNAcentral.
AUUGAACGCUGGCGGCAUGCCUUACACAUGCAAGUCGAACGGCAGCAUAGAGAGCUUGCUCUCUGAUGGCGAGUGGCGAACGGGUGAGUAAAGCAUCGGAACGUACCGUGUAGUGGGGGAUAACGUAGCGAAAGUUACGCUAAUACCGCAUACGCACUGAGGUGGAAAGCAGGGGAUCGCAAGACCUUGCGCUAUACGAGCGGACGAUGUCAGAUUAGCUAGUUGGUAGGGUAAAGGCCUACCAAGGCGACGAUCUGUAGCGGGUCUGAGAGGAUGAUCCGCCACACUGGGACUGUGACACGGCCCAGACUCCUACGGGAGGCAGCAGUGGGGAAUUUUGGACAAUGGGGGCAAGCCUGAUCCAGCCAUGCCGCGUGAGUGAAGAAGGCCUUCGGGUUGUAAAGCUCUUUCGGCCGGGAAGAAAUCGCACAGGCUAAUACUCUGUGUGGAUGACGGUACCGGCAUAAGAAGCACCGGCUAACUACGUGCCAGCCGCCGCCGUAA